CAGCAGCCGCGGGAAUACAGAGGGUGCGAGCGUUAAUCGGAUUUACUGGGCGUAAAGCGUGCGUAGGCGGCUUUUUAAGUCGGAUGUGAAAUCCCUGAGCUUAACUUAGGAAUUGCAUUAGAUACUGGGAAGCUAGAGUAUGGGAGAGGAUGGUAGAAUUCCAGGUGUAGCGGUGAAAUGCGUAGAGAUCUGGAGGAAUACCGAUGGCGAAGGCAGCCAUCUGGCCUAAUACUGACGCUGAGGUACGAAAGCAUGGGGAGCAAACAGGAUUAGAUACCCCAGUAGUCCCUGUCUCUUAUAC
This 301-nucleotide ribosomal RNA is filed under the name uncultured bacterium. RNAcentral's name for it is "partial 16S ribosomal RNA". It matches the Rfam family "Bacterial small subunit ribosomal RNA", at positions 509 to 807 of the family's 1533-position model. The record is from RNAcentral.